Molecule: ribosomal RNA, 255 nt
Filed under: uncultured bacterium
Lineage: Bacteria
Description: partial 16S ribosomal RNA
Rfam family: Bacterial small subunit ribosomal RNA
Source: RNAcentral
UACGAAGGGGGGCUAGCGUUGUUCGGAAUUACUGGGCGUAAAGCGCACGUAGGCGGAUUGUUAAGUUAGGGGUGAAAUCCCGGGGCUCAACCCCGGAACUGCCUUUAAUACUGGCAAUCUCGAGUCCGAGAGAGGUGAGUGGAAUUCCGAGUGUAGAGGUGAAAUUCGUAGAUAUUCGCAAGAACACCAGUGGCGAAGGCGGCUCACUGGCCCGAUACUGACGCUGAGGCACGAAAAGCGUGGGGAUCAAACAGG